AUCAAUGUACUCGUAUAUUAUACCAUAUUCUAGUAAGUACCAUAUUCAAAUAAACACUUCUUAUUCUUAUGUUUUCAUAGAUUCUUUUCCAAAUACAACAACAUAUUUUUAUGUAAUUUACUGCAUUUUAUUUGUGCUUUAUUUUUCAUAUACUUAACACAAUUAAAUAACUAAUACAAAUACAUACGUACUUAGAAUAAAAAUAUUUUUUAAAUCUACAACUAUAAAUUAAUAUACAGGUAAUUUACAAGGUACAUAUUUACAAAGAGUGGAGACCGCGUUUAAGCAAACGUAGUGUGGGACGCCCUCCAGCACGAUGGACCGACGAUAUAAAGCGGCUGGCGGGAAGUGGCUCGAUGAGGAAGGCUGAGGACCGGGUGUGGUGGCGCUCUAUAGGGAAGGCCUAUGUCCAACAGUGGACGUCCACAGGCUGAUGAUGAUGAUGAUAUUUACAAAUAAUAUAAGCACAGACACACCACCCAAGUGGUCUCAACUCAAAACUACUUUUUGGGGUUAGCCACUUUUUACCAAAAAAGUAUUUUCGACAAUAAUUUAAAAACUUGCUUAACAUACUGUUGGAAGUACCUUUUUUUUAAUCCAUUUCAAGUUAGUCCAUAACUGUGAUCACUGAUCACACAUGGUGGUAAGUGAUGAAGUGUUGUGCCUAAAUAAAUAAAUAAAUAAAUAAAGCCUUUAUUUCCAAUCAUUUGUUCAUUAAAUACAAUAAUUCAUAUUUUUCAGUAAACACAAUUAUUAUUUUAAUUAUUUGUUACAAUUCAUAGUAUGACUUAAU
Long non-coding RNA from Maniola jurtina (meadow brown), 793 nucleotides. RefSeq lists it as uncharacterized. The transcript has 2 exons. The record is from RefSeq and is a predicted model, not a curated record. Lineage: Eukaryota; Metazoa; Arthropoda; Insecta; Lepidoptera; Nymphalidae.